RNAcentral lists this long non-coding RNA (318 nucleotides) under Rattus norvegicus (Norway rat). RNAcentral describes it as "long non-coding RNA NONRATT028748". The record is from RNAcentral. Lineage: Eukaryota; Metazoa; Chordata; Mammalia; Rodentia; Muridae.
CUUUUUUUUCUCCAGAUUAAGGAAAAACCUAAAGUCUCUAAUCAUUGUGCACCCCUCUUGGUUUAUCCGAACACUUCUGGCUGUUACAAGACCAUUUAUCAGUUCAAAAUUCAGUCAGAAGAUUAGAUACGUCUUUAAUUUGGCUGAACUGGCGGAGCUUGUUCCCAUGGAGUACGUCGGCAUACCAGAGUGCAUCAAACAAGUUGAUCAAGAGCUUAAUGGGAAACAGGAACCACCAAAGAGUGAGCAGUAAGUUCCGCAUCCAUCCCGGAGGAGGCAGAGCACCGGGGGCAGGGCUGUAGUGCAUCCUAGUGCACU